AGUGAGGUAAGUGGUAUAAGUUGUGCUUCUAUAAACAUAAUUGACAAAGCUUGAAACCUGACUACAUGUAACUUUUCAUAAAGGGGAUAUAUCAUACAAAUGAAUAUUUAAUUAACUUGGGUACGUAGUUUGUAUCUCAAUAUCGAAGAAGGAGAAGUAGUUAAUAGUGCAUAAAUUCAAGGGUGCUACUAGACCAUGCUUGGGAAUGAAUAGAACUGAAAUUGAAAUCAUUGCAAAUCUAGCUUUCCAAAUCAAAGUCUCUAAAAAACAAAAAAAAAAAAAAAAGUGAGAAAUUGAGAAGCUACACCAAUGGAAAGAAUUGACCGGAAAAUUGUUAUGAUGCCAAAAAAGAAAAAAAAAUUUGGUAAUCAUUAGCACAAUCAUGCAUGAGAUCACUUAAUUAGUGAUAAUUAUGGAUGAGAUAACCUUAAAUUAUACUUAGGGUAUGUUUGGUUUCCCAUGGAAUUGAGAUUUAGAAUUGGAAUUGGGGCCCCAAUUCCAAAUCUGUUGUUUGGAUAUUGCUUCGGUCAAAGAAUUAGAAUUGAAUCUGAAUUCUAUAGGGUCCAAUUCCAUGAUUUGAAUUCUUUAUUGGACCAAAAGAAUUCUAAUUCCAAUUCCACAACUAAACCCUGCGAAACGGGUCUACACGCGGAUCUUGUGGGUAAAAAAUUAAAAUCGGGUCAACUAGGUAAGCAGCUUCAGCCUCUGCUUCACUGACUCUUCUUCUUCCUCCUUCGGAUUCCUCAAAACCCAUUUCCCUUUUCCCCACUCCAACCCAUCGAUGGAUUUCCAACGGCUUUUUCAAAAUUGUCACCUGCGCUGCUCCGAAGCAUGGCAUUCACUCCACUGAAGCAAUUGAAACUACUAUCGGAAAUCAUCUAAUUCCUGCAUCUUCGGACAGCUAUUGCUGCUAGAGAAAAAGGGAUUGACAAAAGGGGCUCUACUGAAGAAUUUUGGAUAUUGACAUGGAUAAAGAAGGAGGCGAGCAAAAAGCAAAAAGAGAAAAGUGGUAGUUGCAAAUUAUAUGGUAACAAUAGCUACAUUAGUAGUUUGGUGGCAUGAGAAACAUAUAGUAAAGGAGCCUUACUUGGACUUUAAAGUAGCACGUGAAAUAUAUCUAAGGCGUCUUUACUAUGGAAACAAUAGAGUUUGUGUAGAGCAACUUAGACUCAAUAAACAUUGUUUUACUGUUUUAUGUACA
Non-coding RNA from Coffea arabica (coffee), 1201 nucleotides. NCBI's taxonomy places the organism in Eukaryota, Viridiplantae, Streptophyta, Magnoliopsida, Gentianales, Rubiaceae. The record is from RefSeq and is a predicted model, not a curated record.